UCCAUCCUAACCGAUGACAAAUAUUCUCAUCUUUGGUAUUCUACCCAGUAAAAAGGUAGUUGUAAUCCCUAUUUUUGUUCCCCAAAGAGUUAAUCCUUGAUAUGUUCAUCCUAACCGAUGACGGGUUUCCUUCUUUUUGCGGUCUUCUACCCAGUAACCGGUAGUUGUAAAUCCUGCUUUUUGUCCCCUUCACAUAGUCUAUCCUUGAUAUGUUCACC
RNAcentral lists this long non-coding RNA (218 nucleotides) under Lathyrus oleraceus (garden pea). RNAcentral describes it as "Pisum sativum (pea) long non-coding RNA (PSAT_LNC005830)". Lineage: Eukaryota; Viridiplantae; Streptophyta; Magnoliopsida; Fabales; Fabaceae. The record is from RNAcentral.